RNAcentral lists this unclassified non-coding RNA (459 nucleotides) under Penicillium submersum. RNAcentral describes it as "Penicillium sp. 5 DT-2020 sequence contains ITS1, 5.8S rRNA gene, ITS2". The stretch from base 199 to 354 matches the Rfam family "5.8S ribosomal RNA". The record is from RNAcentral. Lineage: Eukaryota; Fungi; Ascomycota; Eurotiomycetes; Eurotiales; Aspergillaceae.
UGUAGUACUGCGGAGGAUCAUUACUGAGUGAGGGCCCUCUGGGUCCAACCUCCCACCCGUGUUUAUUUACCUUGUUGCUUCGGCGGGCCCGCCUUAACUGGCCGCCGGGGGGCUUACGCCCCCGGGCCCGCGCCCGCCGAAUACACCCUCGAACUCUGUCUGAAGAUUGAAGUCUGAGUGAAAAUAUAAAUUAUUUAAAACUUUCAACAACGGAUCUCUUGGUUCCGGCAUCGAUGAAGAACGCAGCGAAAUGCGAUACGCUAACUGUCGAAUUGCAAAUUCAGUGAAUCAUCGAGUCUUUGAACGCACAUUGCGCCCCCUGGUAUUCCGGGGGGCAUGCCUGUCCGAGCGUCAUUGCUGCCCUCAAGCCCGGCUUGUGUGUUGGGCCCCGUACUCCGAUUCCGGGGGACGGACCCGAAAGGCAGCGGCGGCACCGCGUCCGGGCCUCGAGCGUAUGAG